AAUAAUAGAUUUAUUGCCAUCAAUAAAUAAUACAUGGCGCGUCAUAUAAUUAUGUACAUGUAAGUGUAUAUGGGACAAUACAUACAUUUAUUUUAAAUCUGGAGGGUUAUCCAGGAACUCUUGGAUAGAAUAAUAACUCAUUUCUAAUAGUGCGUCCUUUACCUUCUUCUCAAACAGAGCCGGAGCUAGUCUCUUCAUCGGGUCCUGAAGCUUGUUAUAAAGCUUCGGGCCCCAAUGGUCAAUGCUGUGCUGUGACACUUUAAGCCGAUGGUACGGUGUUGAGAGCGCGUCAGCGUGUCUUGUGUUAUGCUCGUGAUAUGAGCCAUUCUUGAUGAACUCGUGGAGGUGGUUGUGGACGUACCUCAGACAGCUCAAUAUGUACGCGGAAGGGAUGGUAAGAAUUUGUUGUUGUUUGAAGGCUGGGCGGCAGCUUUCCCGAUAGUUCAUUUGGCACAGGAUUCUGAUUGCUUUCUUUUGCAGGACGAAGAUCUUGUCAGCAUCUGAUGAAGUACCCCAUAGAAGUAUACCAUAGGUGGCUUUGCUGUGGAAGUUAGCAAAGUAUGUCACCCUUGCAGCUUGGGGAGUUGAGAUAUUCUUGAUUCUUCUGAUACUGAAUAAAGCUGAUGCUAGGUUUUUGCAGGUUUCCUGAAUGUGGUCCUUCCAAGAUGCUUUGCUAUUUAGGUAAAAUCCCAAGAAUUUUACCGAUGUGACGUUGGUGGGUUUUGAAGAUAUAAAUAGUUCCUGAGUCUUGUCUCCAUUGAGUUUCAGUUUAUUUGCUGUGAACCAUUCAUUGGCAUCUUCAAGGAUUUUUCUCAUUUUUGGUUUUAGCGUAUCCUCUGUUUCUUCUUUGAUGCAGAAGGAAGUGUCGUCCGCAUAUAGACACUGUCCAUCCACUCUCAUAUUGAUAGGCAAGUCAUUUACAUAGAUUAUAAAUAGCAGUGGACCGAGGAUUGAUCCCUGGGGCACUCCACACCUUGUUGGCAGAGGCUUUGACCAUUUUUCAUUCCAUUUUACUAUCUGGGUUCUAUUUUCAAGGGAAGAAUUUGUCAAAGGCAGCUGUCAGAGUUGUAUGGAAGACAGUGUAGGCCUCUUUUGCAUUACGGUGUUUGAAGACACGAGCCCACUCAAUUCCGGUUAAGUACUCCUUAAAGUAGUUCUUGCACUGGGUUCUUAAUCUUCAGGACUUGACAGUAGUGAUCAGACAUGCACCAACUUUUUGUCUCUUUUGAGAAGAUUUCUUCUAUGUUAAUAUUUGAAAAUAUAUUAUCUAUGCAGCUAGAAGAAGUUUCAGUUGUUCUAGAUGCCUCUCUCAUUAGUGGUUGCAUACCAUAUGUUGUGAAAGUUUCGAUUAAUAAAGAUUGUUCGACGCCA
Long non-coding RNA from Tribolium castaneum (red flour beetle), 1371 nucleotides. RefSeq lists it as uncharacterized. Lineage: Eukaryota; Metazoa; Arthropoda; Insecta; Coleoptera; Tenebrionidae. The record is from RefSeq and is a predicted model, not a curated record. The transcript has 3 exons.